Molecule: microRNA precursor, 102 nt
Filed under: Marmota monax (woodchuck)
Lineage: Eukaryota; Metazoa; Chordata; Mammalia; Rodentia; Sciuridae
Source: RNAcentral
AGUAGAAUUGAUGGGCUAUAUGAUAGUCUGUGUUUAACUUCUAGAGGAACUGCCAAAAUGUUUUCUACAGUGUUUGAACCGUUUUACAUUUUCACCAGCAAU